GAAAUGCGAAAAGCAAUGCGAAUUGCAGAAUUCCGCGAGUCAUCAGAUCUUCGAACGCAUCUGGCGCCGACCGGAUCUCCGAUCGGCAUACUUGUUUCAGUGUGUUGUUAAGACUCACAAAUCUCAAUGUGAUUGACAGGAACACAUCACGAAAGUGAUGUUACUUGUCUCUCAUGAAAGAAGCGCUGUGCGAACCGCACUGAUGCAGUAGUCAGUCCUUGUGAUUGAUACUCAUUGGUCGGUCUCAGAAUCAGCAGUCUUAUACAAUCAUCACAUACGCAUCUGAGGCAAGUAAGAUAACCCGCUGAACUUAA
Molecule: unclassified non-coding RNA, 314 nt
Filed under: uncultured Ophiostomataceae
Lineage: Eukaryota; Fungi; Ascomycota; Sordariomycetes; Ophiostomatales
Description: sequence contains ITS1
Rfam family: 5.8S ribosomal RNA (bases 1-105)
Source: RNAcentral